UUAUCACACUUAUUAUAAGGUUGUUCUAACAAGUCUGAUACAGGCAUGAUAUAACAAGAAUGUUACAAGGUUGACAAUACAAGGUUGUAACAAUAUUGUUAUAUAUAUCAUGACUGUAUCGGACUUGUUGGAACAACCUUGCAACAAGUCUGGUAA
Molecule: non-coding RNA, 156 nt
Organism: Paramuricea clavata
Lineage: Eukaryota; Metazoa; Cnidaria; Anthozoa; Malacalcyonacea; Plexauridae
Source: the annotation of a GenBank genome assembly